Long non-coding RNA from Uranotaenia lowii, 409 nucleotides. RefSeq lists it as uncharacterized. Lineage: Eukaryota; Metazoa; Arthropoda; Insecta; Diptera; Culicidae. The transcript has 2 exons. The record is from RefSeq and is a predicted model, not a curated record.
AUUCGAUUGUUUCGCAUUUUUUUUUAAAUUGGAUCCAGUUAUUCUGGACAAUUUCUCACUUGUGUUGAAAUAAAAGUGUCCGGAAUUUGAUCGGAAGGCCAUGUCUCGAAUUCCAGCAGUAAAGCGGAAGAUGGAAAAUUCCUUAAGGCCUGAAACUUCAGACGAAAGCCGCAACUUGCCUGAUCCGGAUCAGAUAAAGGUUGUGCUCUGUAUCUAUACACUUCCGGGACCUGGAGCUAGAAGGUGUGCCGGGACCGUCUCCCAAAUAAUGGUUCCGCAAGAGAAGGCCCGCCAGCAUGCAGUGCAUUUGUUAUAAAUUGAAAAAAGUGGAACAAUUGUGAGUAUUAUAAUGUAUUAAGAAGUGAGAAAUUCUAAAACCAAAUAAAUGUUUUUUAAAGCAUGAACAGAA